UGCCAGACUCCUACGGGAGGCAGCAGUGGGGAAUAUUGCACAAUGGGGGAAACCCUGAUGCAGCGACGCCGCGUGAGCGAUGAAGUAUUUCGGUAUGUAAAGCUCUAUCAGCAGGGAAGAAGAUGACGGUACCUGACUAAGAAGCCCCGGCUAACUACGUGCCAGCAGCCGCGGUAAUACGUAGGGGGCAAGCGUUAUCCGGAUUUACUGGGUGUAAAGGGAGCGUAGACGGCGAUGCAAGCCAGAUGUGAAAGCCCGGGGCUCAACCCCGGGACUGCAUUUGGAACUGUGUGGCUGGAGUGUCGGAGAGGCAGGCGGAAUUCCUAGUGUAGCGGUGAAAUGCGUAGAUAUUAGGAGGAACACCAGUGGCGAAGGCGGCCUGCUGGACGAUGACUGACGUUGAGGCUCGAAAGCGUGGGGAGCAAACAGGAUUAGAUACCCGGGUAGC
RNAcentral lists this ribosomal RNA (448 nucleotides) under uncultured bacterium. Its description in RNAcentral is "bacterial SSU rRNA". It matches the Rfam family "Bacterial small subunit ribosomal RNA", at positions 329 to 794 of the family's 1533-position model. The record is from RNAcentral.